GUGUCAGCAGCCGCGGUAAUACCGGCAGCUCGAGUGAUGACCGAUUUUAUUGGGCCUAAAGCGUCCGUAGCUGGCCGCGCAAGUCUGUCGGGAAAUCCACCCGCUUAACGGGUGGGCGUCCGGCGGAAACUGUGUGGCUUGGGACCGGAAGGCGCGACGGGUACGUCCGGGGUAGGAGUGAAAUCCUGUAAUCCUGGACGGACCGCCGAUGGCGAAAGCACGUCGCGAGGACGGAUCCGACAGUGAGGGACGAAAGCCAGGGUCUCGAACCGGAUUAGAAACCCCUGUA
RNAcentral lists this ribosomal RNA (289 nucleotides) under uncultured prokaryote. RNAcentral's name for it is "partial 16S ribosomal RNA". It matches the Rfam family "Archaeal small subunit ribosomal RNA", at positions 455 to 743 of the family's 1478-position model. The record is from RNAcentral.